This 474-nucleotide ribosomal RNA is filed under the name uncultured bacterium. RNAcentral describes it as "bacterial SSU rRNA". It matches the Rfam family "Bacterial small subunit ribosomal RNA", at positions 33 to 507 of the family's 1533-position model. The record is from RNAcentral.
ACGCUGGCGGCGUGCCUAACACAUGCAAGUCAACUUGACUGAAGGAGCAAUCUGACAGUAGAGUGGCGCAAGGUGCGUAACGCGUAAGUAACUUGCCCCAAGGUAAGGAAUAACGUCGAGAAAUCGGCGCUAAUACCUCAUAAUGCAGCGGAUCCGCAUGGAUAUGUUGUUAAAGGUUUACCGCCUUGGGAUAGGCUUGCGUCUGAUUAGCUAGUUGGUGUGGUAACGGCACACCAAGGCUACGAUCAGUAACUGGUCUGAGGGGAUGAUCAGUCACACUGGAACUGAGACACGGUCCAGACUCCUACGGGAGGCAGCAGUGAGGAAUAUUGGGCAAUGCUCGAAAGAGUGACCCAGCAACGCCGCGUGGAGGAUGAAGGUAUUCUAUAUCGUAAACUCCUGUGAGAGCAGACGAAAGACAGAUUAUUAAUCUGGAUGACUGUAUGCUCAGAGGAAGCCCCGGCUAACUACGUG